Molecule: non-coding RNA, 500 nt
Organism: Erpetoichthys calabaricus (reedfish)
Lineage: Eukaryota; Metazoa; Chordata; Cladistia; Polypteriformes; Polypteridae
Source: the annotation of a RefSeq genome assembly
UCCACUUGUUGAAAAAAAAAAAUGUUGCAGAGAAUUAUUUUGAUCUUCCUUGCUUCUUUAGGAUAUGGUAGUAGUGACCGUGUGUGGCAGCCUGAAAGUUCAGUGCAGGUUCUUCAGAAACAACAGACAGAAAUCAUUUGCACCUUUGAAACAACGGAUACUGAUCCUUACCUCUUCUGGUACAUUCAGCCUCUCAGCGGCUCUCCUCGGCAUUUAAUGACAAUAACAUCAACCUACAGCACAAAUGCAGAAGGUUUCAAAGAACGAUUUGAUGCAACACUAAACCGAAUAAACAAAACAGCUCAUCUGACUAUCUCGUCUUCUAAGCUAUCCGACUCUGCGAUUUAUUUCUGCGCAUUGCGGCCCACAGUAAGGAAAAUAAAAUUAAGAGCAUUACAAAAACUAUUGUCAAAGAAGACUGCCUUGGAAAUAAGUUUAAAUGUGCAUAUUUUGCCUUAUAAUGAGAAAUUUAGAACAUUUUAUGUACAAAAUUGAACAAU